RNAcentral lists this non-coding RNA (23 nucleotides) under Cricetulus griseus (Chinese hamster). Lineage: Eukaryota; Metazoa; Chordata; Mammalia; Rodentia; Cricetidae. The record is from RNAcentral.
CCCGGACUGUCGGCCAGGAGAAG